Unclassified non-coding RNA from Dasypus novemcinctus (nine-banded armadillo), 354 nucleotides. The record is from Ensembl. Lineage: Eukaryota; Metazoa; Chordata; Mammalia; Cingulata; Dasypodidae.
UUUUCAGGCGACUUUUACCGACUCUUCUCGCUGCCUCCGCCCUGCUCUCCGCCCGGGCUUCCAGCCUCUUAUGUUUUUGCAGCCAGAGCCGGAAAAAUGAAAACACAGCUCGAGGAGCCCCCACCAGCCGGCGCCCUUGCCAGUUCACCUCCGGCCAGGGCACAGCUGCCCUUGCACACGGUGGCCAAGGCCAGCUCCGAAUUCCUCCCUCCCCCUCCCCACCUCGCCAGAGACCGGAGCUCUGCGAGCAGAGGAAGGGCCCCAAGUCCACAGACUGCCAAGGUCGGCUGGGUCCCUUCUCAUCAAAAAUGGUGAGUCAAGAUUUCAUCUUGUCCACUGAGGAAACACAAGCAG